AUCCGGGAAGUAAACAGGAAAUAAUUGGACACAUCUGACAGCUGGGGUGUCAAGACACAAACAUUCUAUGCAAGGGCAAACAUGGAGGAAUUAGUAUGUUUUUGACAAUAAAAUCUGGAUUUGGACGCUAUAACCUGGAUUUCUGCAGCAUUUUUAUGUGGAAAAUGGCUUUCAAGUGGCUUUCUACCUUGGUUGGAGUCACUACUACAGAGAAGUUUGCGGAUCCCUGCAGAUGGGAUCGUCUCACCUUGCCCGCACCCAUAAUCUUCUCUGCGGCGUACACGGAGUCGCCACAGCGAGCGCAUUUUUCCGAUCCUGCGAACUUCUGGGCGAACUUGGACGGGUUGGGGUUGGUGGUGGGCCUGUGACACGGCGACCUGUCGGGAGAGAGACUGGUCGACACGUCAUCCAGGGAGAUGCAGAUUGGCUUGUCGGGCGGCGGAUAAUUCGGGUAGAGAGCCAGGAACUUCUGGCACAGCAGACCCAAGCUCUUCUGCUUCCUGCUCGGCUUCUUCUCCACGUUUUCCUCCUCCUCCACUGCUUCAAACUGUAUUUUCGGCUGCCUGUACGUCAUCUAUGUCGACGUCCGCACUUCCUGACUCAUUCUCUAUGGGCCGAAAGAGUACUUUCCUCAUCUCGCGGUUUCGGAUUUCGGGACUGGCGG
Long non-coding RNA from Phyllopteryx taeniolatus (common seadragon), 664 nucleotides. RefSeq lists it as uncharacterized. The transcript is spliced from 4 exons. NCBI's taxonomy places the organism in Eukaryota, Metazoa, Chordata, Actinopteri, Syngnathiformes, Syngnathidae. The record is from RefSeq and is a predicted model, not a curated record.